AGUGAACGCUGGCGGUAGGCCUAACACAUGCAAGUCGAACGGCAGCACAGUAAGAGCUUGCUCUUACGGGUGGCGAGUGGCGGACGGGUGAGGAAUACAUCGGAAUCUACUUUUUCGUGGGGGAUAACGUAGGGAAACUUACGCUAAUACCGCAUACGACCUACGGGUGAAAGCAGGGGAUCUUCGGACCUUGCGCGAUUGAAUGAGCCGAUGUCGGAUUAGCUAGUUGGCGGGGUAAAGGCCCACCAAGGCGACGAUCCGUAGCUGGUCUGAGAGGAUGAUCAGCCACACUGGAACUGAGACACGGUCCAGACUCCUACGGGAGGCAGCAGUGGGGAAUAUUGGACAAGGGGCGCAAGCCUGAUCCAGCCAUACCGCGUGGGUGAAGAAGGCCUUCGGGUUGUAAAGCCCUUUUGUUGGGAAAGAAAAGCAGCAGGUUAAUACCCCGCUGUUCUGACGGUACCAAAAGAAUAAGCACCGGCUAACUUCG
RNAcentral lists this ribosomal RNA (490 nucleotides) under uncultured bacterium. RNAcentral's name for it is "partial 16S ribosomal RNA". It matches the Rfam family "Bacterial small subunit ribosomal RNA", at positions 29 to 505 of the family's 1533-position model. The record is from RNAcentral.